RNAcentral lists this ribosomal RNA (477 nucleotides) under uncultured bacterium. RNAcentral's name for it is "bacterial SSU rRNA". It matches the Rfam family "Bacterial small subunit ribosomal RNA", at positions 303 to 771 of the family's 1533-position model. The record is from RNAcentral.
ACCAGCCACACUGGGACUGAGACACGGCCCAGACGUCCUACGGGAGGCAGCAGUGGGGAAUUUGGACAAUGGGCGCAAGCCUGAUCCAGCAAUGCCGCGUGAGUGAAGAAGGCCUCGGGUUGUAAAGCUCUUUCAGUUGAGAAGAAAAGAUUGUGACUAAUAAUUGCAAUUCAUGACGGUAUCAACAGAAGAAGCACCGGCUAACUACGUGCCAGCAGCCGCGGUAAUACGUAGGGUGCGAGCGUUAAUCGGAAUUACUGGGCGUAAAGGGUGCGCAGGCGGUUCUGUAAGUCAGAUGUGAAAUCCCCGGGCUUAACCUGGUAACUGCGUUUGAAACUACAGAGCUAGAGUGUGGCAGAGGGGGGUGGAAUUCCAUGUGUAGCAGUGAAAUGCGUAGAGAUAUGGAAGAACAUCGAUGGCGAAGGCAGCCCCCCUGGGUCAACACUGACGCUCAUGCACGAAAGCGUGGGGGAGCAA